Odontomachus brunneus is the source of this 3698-nucleotide RNA transcript. It is a transcript of the gene named coatomer subunit beta', with no coding region annotated. Lineage: Eukaryota; Metazoa; Arthropoda; Insecta; Hymenoptera; Formicidae. The record is from RefSeq and is a predicted model, not a curated record. The transcript has 9 exons.
GCGAGUGUAAGCAGACGCCAUCUUCACUGUCACUGGCACUGGCAUCGGCCACGUCCUUAAUUAAUCGGAGUGUGUCUUGCUGUUGAUACAACCAUCGCAAUAAUUUUGCUUCGAUAUUGAAUAUAAGGAUAUAUUGAGGAUAACUGCAAGAUAAUAACAAAAUGCCUCUAAGACUAGACAUUAAGCGGAAGUUAACUGCCAGAUCAGACAGAGUGAAGAGCGUAGAUCUUCAUCCAACAGAACCAUGGAUGUUAUGCUCUUUAUAUCAGGGCAAUGUCAAUAUCUGGAAUCAUGAGACGCAAACGUUGGUGAAAACAUUUGAAGUAUGUGAUUUGCCAGUAAGAGCUGCUAAAUUUGUGCCUCGCAAGAAUUGGGUGAUUACUGGCUCUGAUGACAUGCAAAUCAGAGUGUUUAAUUACAACACUCUGGAACGUGUUCAGACAUUCGAAGCACACAGUGAUUAUGUUAGAUGUAUAGCGGUACACCCAACACAACCGUUCAUUCUCACUAGCAGCGAUGAUAUGUGGAUCAAAUUGUGGAACUGGGAAAAGUCUUGGAUCUGCCAACAAAUGUUUGAAGGGCACACACAUUAUGUCAUGCAAAUUGUAUUUAAUCCAAAGGACAACAACACUUUCGCCAGUGCGUCUCUGGACAGAACUGUCAAAGUAUGGCAACUUGGCUCACCUACGGCUAAUUUCACGUUAGAAGGUCACGAGAAGGGCGUGAAUUGCGUGGAUUACUAUCAUGGUGGUGACAAGCCUUACCUGAUAUCGGGAGCAGACGACAAAUGUGUCAAGAUAUGGGACUAUCAAAACAAGACCUGCGUUCAGACGUUGGAAGGCCAUACGCAGAACAUUUCCGCGGUGUGUUUCCAUCCGGAAUUGCCGAUCGUGCUCACCGGUUCGGAGGACGGUACCGUCAGGGUAUGGCACGCCGGAACAUACCGGCUGGAGUCCUCGCUCAACUACGGCUUCGAGCGAGUGUGGACCAUCGCGUGCAUGCGAGGCUCGAACAACGUCGCCAUCGGCUACGACGAAGGUAGCGUCAUGGUUAAAGUUGGCAGAGAAGAACCUGCGGUGUCGAUGGACUCGUUGGGCGGCAAGGUCGUAUGGGCGAGACACAGCGAGAUUCAGCAGGUGAACCUGAAGGCAUUGGGCGAGGGGGUUCAGGACGGAGAGCGCUUGCCGUUGGCGGUCAAGGACAUGGGCGCCUGUGAGAUAUAUCCGCAGACUAUACAGCACAAUCCGAACGGGAGAUUCCUGGUGGUCUGCGGCGACGGCGAAUACAUCAUCUACACGUCCAUGGCGUUGAGGAACAAGGCGUUCGGACAGGCGUCAGAAUUCGUAUGGUCGGCGGAUUCGAGUCAGUAUGCAGUAAGGGAGAGUAACACCACGGUGAAGGUUUUCAAGAACUUCAAGGAGAAGAAGAGCUUUAAGCCGGAUUUAGGAGCAGAUGGCAUCUUCGGUGGAUUCUUGCUCGGUGUAUCAUCUGGCUCUGGUCUUUCCUUCUACGACUGGGAUACGUUAAAGUUGAUUCGUCGUAUAGACAUACAACCUAUGCAUGUAUAUUGGGCUGAGAACGGCUCAUUAGUAGCGCUGGCUACGUUAGAUCAGUAUUUUAUAUUAAAGUAUUAUGCAGAAGUUGUUGCCGUUGUCGAGGAAAACUAUGAGGACAUCGAAAAUGCAUUCCAAAUGUUAUCGGAGGUAAACGAAGUGGUGAAAACCGGUUUAUGGAUUGGCGAUUGUUUUAUCUAUACUAAUAGCGUCAAUCGCGUUAAUUAUUAUGUCGGCGGCCAGGUAGUCACGGUCUCCCAUCUAGACAGACCGAUGUACCUGCUGGGAUACGUGCCAAGAGACAACAGAUUAUAUUUAUGCGAUAAAGAACUGUCCAUUGUUUCGUAUUCUUUAUUAUUGUCAGUCUUAGAGUACCAAACUGCUGUCAUGCGAAUGGAUUUCAGAACCGCCGAUAGAGUGUUACCGACCAUUCCUAGAGAGCACCGCACGAGAGUGGCUCAUUUCUUAGAAAAACAGGGUUUCAAAGAGCAAGCAUUAGCAGUGUCGACAGAUCCUGAGCACAGAUUUGAAUUAGCGCUCGCACUGGGAAAUCUAGUAGCCGCACAUGUGCUCGCCAAGGAAGCGAACAGUCAGCAAAAGUGGCGGCAGUUGGCUUCUCUUGCCACGCAGCAGGGCAAGCUCUCUUUGGCGAAAGAGUGUUUGUAUCAAGCGCAAGAUUUCGGUGGCCUAUUGUUGUCAGCCACUAGCACAGGAAACACUGAUAUGGUCCUGAAACUCGGCUUGGUCGCAGAGGAAAAGGGAAAGAACAACAUCUCCUUUCUGGCGAAUUUUAUAUUGGGUAAUGUGGACAAAUGCCUGGACAUUUUAAUCAAAACUGACAGAAUUCCCGAGGCCGCGUUCUUCGCCAGAACGUACGCCCCUAGCCAUAUUUCCCACGUCGUUAACUUGUGGAAGGAAAAAUUGUCGGCGGUGAGCGAGAAAGCCGGACAGAGUUUGGCGGAUCCCGAACAGUAUGAGAAUCUAUUCCCUGGAUACAGAGAAGCCUUGAAAGUAGAACAGUUCUUACGCAAAGAGAGGGCGAAAAAGAUUCCAGCCUCAGCGUUUCGCAAUUUCACGCCUAAUACCGACCGGAAUCCUUUGGAGGAGAUGUUGGCCGCUGAAAAAUCAGGCGCAUUUCAAUAUAGCGAUGACCAAACGGAACGCCCGGGAAACGCAUCAGAGACUGAAACGGUGUCUGACAGAUUGGAAGAGCUCAUGAUAUCAAAGAAAGACAACGAUACAGUCACAACCGCGAAGCUCACAGCUACACCCGUACUCGAGAAAACGACGAAGCUCGCGAGUAGUUCAAGGCCUCUCACAGUGGACGACGACGACCUUGAUAUCGAUUUGGAAAUCGAUGAUAAUAUUGAUACCACUGAUGUCAACCUCGACGACGAUCUUCUCGAGGAGGAUUAACCGUCGAAAUAGCGUCGAGAAAUAAGUGAAGUUGCAGUCAUCAUACAAAUAUCUUUCAUUCUCCUUCUGCCAGUCAUUCCCCGCAAGAUGAAAGAAAGAAAGAAAGGAUGGCGAGAGAGUCAUUUAGAAUUGAGUUUUGAAGAGUCGCGAAAUCAUCUCUCGUUGUCUGCGCGCAAGUGUGUUUGUAUCACUGCAAGAACUAACGAAGAACAAAAUGUAAGCUUGCGAUAUAAGGAGGAGAAAUAGCGAGCGCACGAGGACAGUGGAGAUCCGCGAUCGUCUACCCACGCGUGGAUUUACGGGUGCUGCCGUCGUCGUCGUCGUCGUCGUCGUCGUCGUCGGUGGGCGAAGAACGAAAAGGAAAAAGAAGAGCAGGUGGAGGAAGGGAGAGCGGAGUUAGAACACGGAGAUGAAGAAGCAGAAGAAGAAAAAGAUAGCCGUGCGCCGUACUCGAAAAUAGAAACAGCCGCGUUGACACUCCGCUACAAAUUGUCCGCGUCAUGACGCCUCGUUUUAAAAGCCACGCGCUUCGCGUUGUCUCGCUUCUUCUCGAGGAGGGGGGAAGGGGAGAGGGGGAAGAAAAAACCACUGACCCAAAAACGACGCUGAUCGAUACGUUUCUUUUUUUGUUUUUCACACGUAACUGUUGUGUCUUAUUAAUAUAUUUCUUGUAUAUUGCUUUAAAAUAGCAUAAUUUUAUAUAUAAAAACUUCAAUCUGCCGAUCUGUA